RNAcentral lists this ribosomal RNA (235 nucleotides) under uncultured bacterium. Its description in RNAcentral is "partial 16S ribosomal RNA". It matches the Rfam family "Bacterial small subunit ribosomal RNA", at positions 99 to 334 of the family's 1533-position model. The record is from RNAcentral.
CGCGCGGGUGAGUAACACGUAUCCAACCUGCCGUCUACUCUUGGACAGCCUUCUGAAAGGAAGAUUAAUACAAGAUGGCAUCAUGAGUCCGCAUGUUCACAUGAUUAAAGGUAUUCCGGUAGACGAUGGGGAUGCGUUCCAUUAGAUAGUAGGCGGGGUAACGGCCCACCUAGUCUUCGAUGGAUAGGGGUUCUGAGAGGAAGGUCCCCCACAUUGGAACUGAGACACGGUCCAA